GCAGAGCACAGGAUGCAGAGCAGAGCCGAGUUUCAGAGGCUGCACAGAGUGAAGAUUCGGUACACGUGCCCGUUGGUCCGGUGACGAGAGCUAGAGCCAAGACGUUCAAGGCUAAUUUAAUGGCGUUAGUGGAAGAAAUCUGGAGGCAAGAGCUGAAAAGACCAAUUGGAGAAGGACCGACAGAUCAGAGCUCAAAGGUAGUAAACCUUAUUGCAUACAGACCAG
RNAcentral lists this long non-coding RNA (225 nucleotides) under Salvia miltiorrhiza (redroot sage). RNAcentral's name for it is "long non-coding RNA (SMIL_LNC013318)". The record is from RNAcentral. Lineage: Eukaryota; Viridiplantae; Streptophyta; Magnoliopsida; Lamiales; Lamiaceae.